CUAGCGGCAGGCUUAACACAUGCAAGUCGAGGGGCAGCGAGAUGUAGCAAUACAUGUCGGCGACCGGCGCACGGGUGCGUAACGCGUAUGCAACCUACCAUAUACAGGAGGAUAACCAUUCGAAAGAAUGACUAAUACUCCAUAGUAUUAUUUUGAGGCACCUUAGAAUAUUAAAGAAUUUCGGUAUAUGCUGGGCAUGCGUGACAUUAGCUAGUUGGAGAGGUAACGGCUCACCAAGGCUACGAUGUCUAGGGGUUUUGAGAGGAAGAUCCCCCACACUGGUACUGAGACACGGACCAGACUCCUACGGGAGGCAGCAGUGAGGAAUAUUGGUCAAUGGACGGAAGUCUGAACCAGCCAUGCCGCGUGAAAAGGAAGACUGCCCUAUGGGUUGUAAACUUCUUUUAUACGGGGAUAAACCUAUCUUUGCGAAGAUAGCUGAAGGUACCGUAUGAAUAAGCAUCGGCUAACUCCGUGCCAGCCGCAGC
RNAcentral lists this ribosomal RNA (488 nucleotides) under uncultured bacterium. RNAcentral describes it as "bacterial SSU rRNA". It matches the Rfam family "Bacterial small subunit ribosomal RNA", at positions 36 to 518 of the family's 1533-position model. The record is from RNAcentral.